CAAUAGUGUAUAUUAAAGUUGUUGCAGUUAAAAAGCUCGUAGUUGGAUUUCAAGAAACGCAUCUGGGUCACCAGUAUGCUUUCUACCAGUCUCUGACUGUUACUGUGAGAAAAUUAGAGUGUUUCAAGCAGGCAAUUGCAGGAAUACAUUAGCAUGGAAUAACGAAUGGGUCUACAAUUUGGUUGAUUGUAGAUUGCGAUUAAUAGGGACAGUUGGGGCGAUUCGUAUUUCUAUUGUCAGAGGUGAAAUUACUUGGAUUUAUUGAAAGAACGAACUUCUGCGAAAGACAUUUGCCAAGGAAUGUUUUCUAUUAAAUCAAGAACGAAAGUUGGAGGCUCGAAGACGAUCAGAUACCGU
Molecule: ribosomal RNA, 357 nt
Filed under: uncultured eukaryote
Lineage: Eukaryota
Description: bacterial SSU rRNA
Rfam family: Eukaryotic small subunit ribosomal RNA
Source: RNAcentral